Molecule: ribosomal RNA, 300 nt
Filed under: Escherichia coli
Lineage: Bacteria; Pseudomonadati; Pseudomonadota; Gammaproteobacteria; Enterobacterales; Enterobacteriaceae
Description: bacterial SSU rRNA
Rfam family: Bacterial small subunit ribosomal RNA
Source: RNAcentral
GGGGGACCUUCGGGCCUCUUGCCAUCGGAUGUGCCCAGAUGGGAUUAGCUAGUAGGUGGGGUAACGGCUCACCUAGGCGACGAUCCCUAGCUGGUCUGAGAGGAUGACCAGCCACACUGGAACUGAGACACGGUCCAGACUCCUACGGGAGGCAGCAGUGGGGAAUAUUGCACAAUGGGCGCAAGCCUGAUGCAGCCAUGCCGCGUGUAUGAAGAAGGCCUUCGGGUUGUAAAGCACUUUCAGCGGGGAGGAAGGGAGUAAAGUCAACCCAUUUGCACAGUUCGGUAGGUCUCCCAAUUA